RNAcentral lists this ribosomal RNA (521 nucleotides) under Paroedura rennerae. RNAcentral's name for it is "partial large subunit ribosomal RNA". It matches the Rfam family "Bacterial large subunit ribosomal RNA", at positions 1916 to 2596 of the family's 2925-position model. The record is from RNAcentral. Lineage: Eukaryota; Metazoa; Chordata; Lepidosauria; Squamata; Gekkonidae.
GACUCAAUUUAACGGCCGCGGUAUCCUAACCGUGCGAAGGUAGCGUAAUAACUUGUCUCCUAAUUAGGGUCCUGUAUGAACGGCUACAUGAGGGCCUAACUGUCUCUUGCAACCAAUCAAUGAACCUGAGCUUUCAGUUCAAAAGCUGAAAUAAACCCAUGGGACGAGAAGACCCCGUGGAACUUUAAGUGACCCACUACUUAAGCCAACAAAAAGCCCACUGACAGACAGGCCACCAACACUUUAAGCACAGAAGGGCACCACUUUUGGUUGGGGCGACUGCGGAGAAAAACAAAACCUCCACGCAUAAGGACUUACCACCCAUCACAGGCCGACAGGCCAAAAAUAAUAACCUCUUUGACCCAGUAAACUGAUCAACGAACCAAGCUACCCCGGGGAUAACAGCGCCAUCCUCUUUAAGAGUCCAUAUCGCCAAGAGGGCUUACGACCUCGAUGUUGGAUCAGGGCACCCUGGCAGUGCAGCCGCUGCCAAAGGUUCGUUUGUUCAACGAUUAAUGCCC